UAUUGGGCAAUGGACGCAAGUCUGACCCAGCAACGCCGCGUGAGUGAUGACGGCCUUCGGGUUGUAAAGCUCUGUCUUCAGGGACGAUAAUGACGGUACCUGAGGAGGAAGCCACGGCUAACUACGUGCCAGCAGCCGCGGUAAUACGUAGGUGGCGAGCGUUGUCCGGAUUUACUGGGCGUAAAGGGAGCGUAGGCGGACUUUUAAGUGAGAUGUGAAAUACUCGGGCUCAACUUGAGUGCUGCAUUUCAAACUGGAAGUCUAGAGUGCAGGAGAGGAGAAUGGAAUUCCUAGUGUAGCGGUGAAAUGCGUAGAGAUUAGGAAGAACACCAGUGGCGAAGGCGAUUCUCUGGACUGUAACUGACGCUGAGGCUCGAAAGCGUGGGGAGCAAACAGG
This 397-nucleotide ribosomal RNA is filed under the name uncultured bacterium. RNAcentral describes it as "bacterial SSU rRNA". It matches the Rfam family "Bacterial small subunit ribosomal RNA", at positions 362 to 776 of the family's 1533-position model. The record is from RNAcentral.